RNAcentral lists this long non-coding RNA (581 nucleotides) under Rattus norvegicus (Norway rat). RNAcentral's name for it is "long non-coding RNA NONRATT018336". The record is from RNAcentral. Lineage: Eukaryota; Metazoa; Chordata; Mammalia; Rodentia; Muridae.
AAAGGGUAAAGCCCAACAUAAGGAGGCAAGCUAUACCCUAGAAGAAGCAAGAAACUAAUUGUCUUGGCAACAAAACAAAGAGAAGAAAAGCACACAAACAUAACCUCACAUCCAAAUAUGAAUAUAACAGGAAGCAAUAAUCACUAUUCCUUAAUAUCUCUCAACAUCAAUGGCCUCAACUCCCCAAUAAAAAGACAUAGAUUAACAAACUGGAUACGCAAUGAGGACCCUGCAUUCUGCUGCCUACAGGAAACACACCUCAGAGACAAAGACAGACACUACCUCAGAGUGAAAGGCUGGAAAACAACUUUCCAAGCAAAUGGUCAGAAGAAGCAAGCUGGAGUAGCCAUUCUAAUAUCAAAUAAAAUCAAUUUUCAAUUAAAAGUCAUCAAAAAAGAUAAGGAAGGACACUUCAUAUUCAUCAAAGGAAAAAUCCACCAAGAUGAACUCUCAAUCCUCAUCUUCAGUUAGUUUAUAUACAAGUGUGCAAUUUCUAGGCUUGAAAGUAAAAUGAUGCUAUCUGGUGCUGGAUAGAGGAGCCUUAUUUUUUAUUAUGGCAGCUUGCUAUUUUUGUAACAUGG